AUUGAACGCUGGCGGCAUGCUUUACACAUGCAAGUCGAACGGCAGCGCGGGCUUCGGCCUGGCGGCGAGUGGCGAACGGGUGAGUAAUACAUCGGAACGUGCCCAGUAGUGGGGGAUAGCUCGGCGAAAGCCGGCUUAAUACCGCAUACGACCUGAGGGCGAACGCGGGGGAUCUUCGGACCUCGCGCCUUUGGAGCGGCCGAUGGCAGAUUAGCUAGUUGGUGGGGUAAAGGCCUACCAAGGCGACGAUCUGUAGCUGGUCUGAGAGGACGACCAGCCACACUGGGACUGGGACACGGCCCAGACUCCUACGGGAGGCAGCAGUGGGGAAUUUUGGACAAUGGGCUAAAGCCUGAUCCAGCAAUGCCGCGUGUGUGAUGAAGGCCUUCGGGUUGUAAAGCACUUUUGGCGGGAACGAAAAGGACUGUGCCAAUACCACGGUUCGAUGACGGUACCCUCAGAAUAAGCACCGGCUAACUACGUG
Molecule: ribosomal RNA, 484 nt
Filed under: uncultured bacterium
Lineage: Bacteria
Description: partial 16S ribosomal RNA
Rfam family: Bacterial small subunit ribosomal RNA
Source: RNAcentral